Molecule: ribosomal RNA, 467 nt
Filed under: uncultured bacterium
Lineage: Bacteria
Description: bacterial SSU rRNA
Rfam family: Bacterial small subunit ribosomal RNA
Source: RNAcentral
CCAGACUCCUACGGGAGGCAGCAGUGAGGAAUAUUGGUCAAUGGGCGCAAGCCUGAACCAGCCAAGUCGCGUGAGGGAUGACGGUCCUAUGGAUUGUAAACCUCUUUUGUCGGGGAGCAAGGCCCGCCACGUGUGGCGGGAAGGAGAGUACCCGAAGAAAAAGCAUCGGCCAACUCCGUGCCAGCAGCCGCGGUAAUACGGAGGAUGCGAGCGUUAUCCGGAUUUAUUGGGUUUAAAGGGUGCGCAGGCGGAGGUGCAAGUCAGCGGUUAAAUUGCGGGGCUCAACCCCGUACUGCCGUUGAAACUGGCGUUCUUGAGUGGGCGAGAAGUAUGCGGAAUGCGUGGUGUAGCGGUGAAAUGCGUAGAUAUCACGCAGAACUCCGAUUGCGAAGGCAGCAUACCGGCGCCCAACUGACGCUGAAGCACGAAAGCGUGGGUAUCGAACAGGAUUAGAUACCCUUGUAAAU